This 489-nucleotide ribosomal RNA is filed under the name uncultured bacterium. RNAcentral's name for it is "partial 16S ribosomal RNA". It matches the Rfam family "Bacterial small subunit ribosomal RNA", at positions 29 to 506 of the family's 1533-position model. The record is from RNAcentral.
AGUGAACGCUGGCGGUAGGCCUAACACAUGCAAGUCGAACGGCAGCACGGGAGAGCUUGCUCUCUGGGUGGCGAGUGGCGGACGGGUGAGGAAUACAUCGGAAUCUGCCCAGUCGUGGGGGAUAACGUAGGGAAACUUACGCUAAUACCGCAUACGACCUUCGGGUGAAAGAGGGGGAUCGCAAGACCUCUCGCGAUUGGAUGAGCCGAUGUCGGAUUAGCUAGUUGGCGGGGUAAUGGCCCACCAAGGCGACGAUCCGUAGCUGGUCUGAGAGGAUGAUCAGCCACACUGGAACUGAGACACGGUCCAGACUCUUACGGGAGGCAGCAGUGGGGAAUAUUGGCCAAGGGGUGCAAGCCUGAGCCAGCCAUACCGCGUGGGUGAAGAAGGCCUUCGGGUUGUAAAGCCCUUUUGUUGGGAAAGAAAUCUUUCAGGCUAAUACCCUGGGAGGAUGACGGUACCCAAAGAAUAAGCACCGGCUAACUGCGU